GCUAGCAGUGAUACCUGCACCGCGCCCCCAUUUAAAGCGCUAGCAGUGAUACCUGCGCCCCCACAUUUAAAGCGCUAGCAGUGAUACCUGCGCCCAUGAUAAAAAUAUAGCAAGCGCUAGCAGUGAUACCUGCGCCCCCAAAUUUAAAGCGCUAGCAGCUAUACCUGCGCCUCAAUCCCACACUUAAAAAAAAAAAAAUAUAUGCUUACUUUAUAUACAAAUAUACUCAACUUAAAUGAAAAAUGAUAUACAUAGUUAAGCAUAUGUUAUUAAUGUGAACACGCUAUUAACGAAAAAGAGCCACAUGGCAUAAAAACAAAAAAAAAAGCGAAAGUGAAAAAAAAAAUAUACAUAUUAAUAUAAAAAAAAAAAGUUCGCAAUUUCUCACGAGGCGUCUUGGCAAGCGGCAGCAACAUCAACGGAGGAUAACGGCAGCAGCAUCACCGGCGCAGCACAGCAAAACACCGGCGCGGCACAGCACAAAA
Molecule: long non-coding RNA, 485 nt
Organism: Rhagoletis zephyria (snowberry fruit fly)
Lineage: Eukaryota; Metazoa; Arthropoda; Insecta; Diptera; Tephritidae
Source: RefSeq, a predicted model, not a curated record